This 253-nucleotide ribosomal RNA is filed under the name uncultured bacterium. Its description in RNAcentral is "partial 16S ribosomal RNA". It matches the Rfam family "Bacterial small subunit ribosomal RNA", at positions 524 to 776 of the family's 1533-position model. The record is from RNAcentral.
GACAGAGGGUGCAAACGUUGUUCGGAAUUACUGGGCGUAAAGCGCGUGUAGGCUGUUCGGAAAGUCGGAUGUGAAAGCCCCGGGCUCAACCUGGGAAUUGCAUUCGAGACUGAAUAGCUAGGGUACGGUAGAGGGAAGUGGAAUUUCCGGUGUAGCGGUGAAAUGCGUAGAUAUCGGAAGGAACAUCAGUGGCGAAAGCGACUUCCUGGACCAGUACCGACGUUCAGGCACGAAAGCGUGGGGAGCAAACAGG